UGAAUUGAUAAGAGAUCCAAUCGAAUAAGUUUGGGCUAUGAAAGGGAUAAUUAAAUAAUCAAAGUUAGAUAUGCUUGAUUCUGCCUUACUACUCAAUUCUAUGGGAAAAUGACUGUCAUAUCCUUACAUGUUCAUACCAUUAAAAACGAUACAUUUUGCUUCUGGUUAGUUUUAUGUGCUUUCGCAUUCCAUUCUUGCCAUUACUACGAAAAACAAACCAGAAAAACUAGCGAAGACGAAGAAGGAAAUUUUUUUAAACGGAGCAAUUCAGGUCUUCAAAAAGAGUAAAUACAUCAAACCCAAUGUUUAUUUAUCUUCAUUUUGCUUAUAUUAGAUGGUUAAUUGGAUUAAUUUGUUACAUGCAAUAGAAAUUGAGUUUAGGGUUCUUCGAAUUGGGGGUUUUACUGAUAUGUGUUUUUUGAUUUUUGGUUCCGAUCUUGUUUUGUGGUAUCUUGGCGGUUGUUCUUUGUUUCUAUGGUGGUUGCACUUCGACUUUUGCAUCUGACCAUCGAAUGAUGGUGAGAAAGUACUGGUUUCCUUUUGUUGUUUAUUAUUUUGAAGCUAAGAAUAUUAUUUCCGUAUAAUUUUGAUUUCUGAUCUUCAAAAAUCAAUUCAAGUAAUAAUAUUCUUAGCUUCAAUUGUACUCUUAAUGGGUUGAUCUGUAUUGCUUCAAAUUGGAAUUAGCUUAUUUGGUUUGGUUCCUGAUCGGAUCUAGCUGUCAUGCAUCAUGAUGAAUGGUGAUUUUGAAAUUGGGUAUUUGAUGUUGUACAUCUGAUUGAUGUUAAGGAGUAGAAAAAAGAAGAACUUUUUAAGUGUAAUUGGUUUUGAGUAAUGGGGUUGCGAGAUGAUGAAGCCUUAGAAAGGAGAAGUAGUACCGAUGGAAGGUAAUGGGUUUAAUGUAAAAGAAAUUGUCUAUGGUGGUGGAGGUGGAAGUGGAUAUGGUGGUGCUGGGUAUGGAAGUGAUUCAUAUGGUGGUAGUUCUGGUUAUUAUGCUGCACCUGCAACUUCUUAUGCUUAUAGUUAUGGGUAGCAGGAAUUUGUUGUCCCAAGUGGUUGGGAUUAAAGAACUGUUCAUGAUCUCUUGCUAGUUACCACUUAACUACAUAACCGAAAGAAGACAUCGGCAAUUGGUGAUGAUGAUCUUCAUUACUCUAUUUGAGUUGGUGCAUUUUCCAAAGCUCAUGUUUGUGCAUUUCUCAAUCAAAAAUUGAAGCAUUGGACAUUCAAUGGAGAUCGAAAAAGAUCUACAUCUCAUUUUUGGACAUUCAAUGGACAGCAUUGGACAUACAAAGAUCUACAUCUCUACCAAAAAUGGGAGGUAUAACAACACUAUUAUUUACUAUUUAAAAAAUGAGUCGUCGAAAACCAACUGAUUUUCAACCGUUAAAAUUAAGAUUAGUAGAUAAUGAAGUUUGGUAUUAUGCACUCCUUUUUGGUAGGCAUGUUGAUUUUUGUAAGAGAAACAUAUCCCUAAAAUAUUAGCUUCAAAUCAGUUAUCGUUUAGUUUAUUUUAAAAAAAUAUCCUUCAAAGUGUGAGAUCAUGUGAGGGGCCUCCCUCUUAUUUGUAUACUUGUAAAACCGCAUACAGUGAAAUCAUUGUUGGAUGUAAAUCGUUCUUUAGAUUCAAAUUGUAUUAGAGAGAAAAGUUUAAAUUGUAUUA
Papaver somniferum (opium poppy) is the source of this 1660-nucleotide long non-coding RNA. RefSeq lists it as uncharacterized. The transcript has 3 exons. Lineage: Eukaryota; Viridiplantae; Streptophyta; Magnoliopsida; Ranunculales; Papaveraceae. The record is from RefSeq and is a predicted model, not a curated record.